AUAAAUGUUCAGAAAAUGUUUACAUUUAGCUUUUUAUAGUAUAUGUGAAAUUAUGGGGAAAACAUUAUUUUCCUAAGUAUUUUCUUAAACAUAUGUAUGUGUAUAUGUAUACAACUUUGACAAGAUGUAGGAAAUGCUUGUUUACAUUCAGCAUUUACAGUGUAUGCAUAUAUUCAGUUUUUUUAUAGUAUGUCUGAAGUCCAGGAAAAGUCGUAUUUUCCUGAAUAUAGGAAGAACCAAGAAAAAAACUGAUGAAAGCGCUACAGCAUUUUAUUCCUCUAGUACUAGAGUAACUUACAGAUAAAAUCUAACUCUUCAAGAUUUUAUAAAGAGUAUCAGCUAUGAGGCUAGCAUAACCCCUGUACCAAAUUUGGAAAAGGGCAGCAUCCAGGUCCAAUCAGCUACAAAAAUAAUCCAGUGUACUCAUGGUAUAUGAAUGUUCCAAUUAAAAUAGCAAAUCAAAUCUAGCAGCCCAUUAAAAGAAAACAGGGUGGUGGUGUUUGUUUUUUUUCUUUUAAUCUGAAAUAAAAUGGUUCAUGACCUGGCCUGUCAGAUUGUAGAAACUGUAAUGUGUAAAUGUAGUGUUUGCACAUUGAAAACUAGACACUUAACUUAUCCAUCAAAAAUAGUAAACUGUUAACAGCAAAUGAUACUCAAUUGCUAUGAGAUUGUCCAUUAAUUGUGCAUCUGUAGACAUUCACAGCAUUUGGAAUAAUCACCACCAUCAGAUUCCACCUUUGCCCAUGCUUCAGAAAUACAUACUUUGAUGUACACAUAUAUUAUGCAACAAAUUAAAUCGG
This 800-nucleotide long non-coding RNA is filed under the name Bos taurus (domestic cattle). RNAcentral describes it as "long non-coding RNA NONBTAT009386". The record is from RNAcentral. Lineage: Eukaryota; Metazoa; Chordata; Mammalia; Artiodactyla; Bovidae.